Molecule: long non-coding RNA, 3424 nt
Organism: Metopolophium dirhodum (rose-grain aphid)
Lineage: Eukaryota; Metazoa; Arthropoda; Insecta; Hemiptera; Aphididae
Exons: 9
Source: RefSeq, a predicted model, not a curated record
AGGCAUAGUUAAUAUGUUGUCCGAAAUCACCCCAAGUUUUUUUAAAAAUGAAGACGAUUUAAGACUACAGUCUACAGUGUGAGAUUAAAUAACUUAACAACUUCUACAUACAUCAAUUAAGACGGACAAGUUACCGAGUAGAUAAUUGAAAACCUCAAUCAAAUAUGUCGCCGCCAGAAAUACUGACUUAUCAAUUAAAAUAUUAAAUUCGUUUGCCGACUCCGCUAUAGACGCUAUAGUUAGUCUGUAGUUUGAAUUCUGAAUUUGAAUCAUUUGAUGACAUUUGAACAGAAAUACAGACUACAGUCGUAUAGAAUUCUGGUACCUAAUACAUUUUAGUACAAAAUUACCAUGAAGAAGUGUAAAGUGUCCAAGGUAUCGCCACACCUCAAUUUUAAUUUGUAAGUAUUAUUUUCUAUACUCUCUCACGAAUGAAAGGUACCUCGUUUUGACGAAGACCACUCAAUCCGCACAUCCACGACCUACGCAAGAAACCAGUUAUGACAAAGAUCGUCGUACCGAGUAAACACGAUGGCUGCAUCGGCGUGAACAGAUCGCAGGUGAUUCUCGUAUCCCACAGUCUACAUCCGCAAAAAGAUUUCAAAAAAAUGAAAAUAGAAGGAAGAAUGGCUCAAAAGCUUCGGGUUGGAUGAUUACCUAAUUUAUAACUGGCAUAGAAUCUGCCGUAAUCAUUUCACUAUUAGUGAUUACAAACCAGGCUCAGUAAAUAAGCAAAUAUUAUGGCCAGAAGCUGUCCCAAUCCCAAAACAUAAUACCAACAACUUGUUAUAGAAAGAUAGGUAAAAUAAGCAAUAUAAUAUAAUAUUACUAAUGUAAUAUUUCAUAAUAUAAAUAAAAUACAUUUUAAUACCUCGAAGCUACUCUGGUAUGACUUAGCACGUCUAAUAAAUUGUCUAAGAGAAAAUUAUCUUCCUCUAACCAUGAGAUUGAAGAAAAUGAACAGACAAAUAAAGGAUUUGAAGACCUUACAUUUGAUGAUAUUAAUUCACCCUUAAAAAACUUAGUUCAAAGCGCAACAUUAAUAAUUUAAGCUUACAUAAUAUUAUCUAUGGUUACUAAACAAAAAUGUUGUCAAUGAAAAAUAGUCUUCAUAGAAUGGAUUAUACUUAUUAUGGUUUUAAAAACUGAAAUAUAUGAUGUACCAACCACAAGGAACUAGGAAGCCGAGCCAACGUAUUCACAAUUUUUCAAAUGUUGAUUUUCUUGAAGACAAUUCUACCGACUAAGAUGAAGCAAUACAUCUCUAUAUACAUUUUAAAGAUUGUACCUCAAGUUAUAAAAAUAUAAGAGUGAACUAUAAAACUCGAAGGUAAAACAAUUUACCUGAACAAUUAACCAAUUUGAAUAGCACAGAGGGCCUCUACAUAUUUUAAUUGCAAAGACAUGCACAAUUAGUUUGGACUUCCAGUGUUAUGACAAUUGGAUCUAUAUUUUGGAACAUUGCUGAUAACUUGAUACAAAAUAAAAUUAUAUUAAAGUGUGCAAGUAUGUAAACUUUUUAAACUAAAAAGGUACAAAUUAUUAAGUUGUAUACCUUAAUUGGCAUAAAUUAUUCUGAAUUGUAUUUUUUUUCCAAUAUAUUUGUAAUUUUGAAUUAGUUAAAACUACAAUUUCUCUAGGGACACAUUUCAAUUUCUUUAUGGUAUUAAUAGUUAUUUCUAGACUCUCAGUUAAAGGCAUUUAAUAUUUUAAUGUUAAACUGUUAUGUAAGCAUUUAUUUUUCAUGAUCUCAAUACUAUAGAACGCGUAUAUAUUAGUGAGUACUGAGUAGGUACUGAAAUAUGUACCUAGUACCUACACCUAGAUGAGAUAUUGAAUCGUCGUCGUUUGAUAUCAAAAUGUGUACAUACUACAGACCUCUUGAAUCUUGUCAUACAUCGUUAAAUCUGUGAACUGAUGUAUAAUGUGUACUCUAUUUAAUUUAAUUGUACACUCAGUGAGCACUUUCUACACUGCUAAUUUUGUGAGUGAUUAUACUGUUAUGAACUCCAUUUCUCUAAUACAGUGUCAAAUUUGUUUUCGUAUUUGUUUUAAUAAAAACUGGUGUAAAACUAGUGCAACACUCAUGGAGUAGUAUAAUUACUUGGAGCACUUAUAAAUCGUCAAAUCGAAAAUGCUUUAUAACAUAUUUUUAAUUAUUAGUUUUUGUAAAUGUUAAAUUCAAAUAGAAACAUUGUAUUAUUUAUGAUCCUGUCCAUUUAGUGUCCAGCAAAUGUUACAACACCUUUGGAAGUAACUCUAAAUCUCGACUGGCUACUAUCACUGUUUUCAGUCCAACCUUUAUGUAUGGUGAUAUUAAUCUUUGGUCUAGUCUAUUUGAGAUAAUCUUACAACUGGAUAAAUGCAAAUUAUUACCUACCAUAUUAGUCAAGCCUGAAGAUUUUCUUGAGCUCAGUGGUAGAGUUUUAUUAGAAUGUGAAACAGUGCCAUUAGGUUCACAAAAAUCAGAAUCCGGAUUAUUCAGUUCACUUUACUCUUACGCUUCUGGAGGUGAGACAAUUAAUAAAAUACAGACUUCAAAUUAACUUGAGUUGAUUAUUACAUCUAGAUACUAUAAUAUAUCUUAUAGUUGCUUGGAAAGUCUAAUUACAGAGUCUAAGUUUCUCACUAUAGAAUCUUUGGAAGCUUUUGUAAAAGCCUUAAUUGGAACAUUUUAUAAACCAGAGGGUCUAUAUGUUAUACGUAUGCAGUACUCCGUCUUACUAAGGUAUAAUAUACCAAAAUGUACGUCCAGAAGUUCCAAUUUUGAAAAUAAUAUCAGGUAAUUUUACUUAAUAUCAAACUAAAAUGUAAGAACAUUAUCUGUGAUCUCUCGUUGUUUUUUCAUGAUAUUUUUAAGUGAAUUAUGAGCAUUUUAAAAUAUUAAUAUUUUACAUACUAUUAUAACUCACUUAAAAAUUAAAAAAUAACAAAAAAAACCAACUAGAAAAUACAGAUAAUGUUCUUACAUUUAAGUUUGAUAAUAGUUCAAUUCACUUUACUAUUUAAGCUAAUAAUAUCAAAUUGAAACUGCUGGACGUACAUUUUGGUAUAUUAUGCGUUAGUACCAGAUGGAAACAACACAUGCAGGUACGACGUCCUCUUUAGAAAAUUGUAUGUGCCUUAAUGCCUUGAAUUAUUUAAGUAUAAAUUGAAUAACUUAUUUUUUAGGUUAUAACAAACCAGAUUGUGAAAUAAACCAACAACUGCAUUGAAAUAGUUAUAAAUGUAUAUUAUUAUUAUUCACUUUUUAUGUUCAACGUUUCGUAUUGUAUACAUUUUCUAUUAGUUCAUAUUAUUUUAUUAAAUAUACAUUAUCAAGUUAAAAUUACUGUAGUCGCUAAUGGUAAUUUUGAUUUUACUUUCUAUUAAUGAUAAAUUUGAGUUUUGAUGAAAAUAUAUUUUCUUUGAUUGUGUUUAUCAA